CAAUAAAAUAAAAAAAAAGUUAGUAAUAAAGAAAGGGAAAAAGGAAAAUGAUGAAAAAAAAAAAGAAAAAAAAGUUAUCAUGUUGCUUAAGUUGGCCGAAUAGAGGAAAGAAAGGAAGGGAAAAAGCUUGGAGAAAAUCGGCUAUGGUGGUUCACUAGAUUAAGCUCAAGAGCAAAGGGGAACUAAAUCCGAUAAAGAAAAGGAAAAGGGUGAUCGAAUAGCCGUUGAAAUCGUUCAACAGCAUCCGAGGUAAGACCCGAUGACUACGUGUGGAGAUUUUGUCCGGGUAAGACCCGAUGACUACGUGCGGAGAUUUUGUCCUGGUAAGACCCGAUAACUACGUGUGGGGACUAUUCGAGCUAAAGGUUUCACUGAAGAUUCAAGUAAAGCAUAGGAUCAUACGACUUCACAGUAUCAACUGGUAAUAAAUACGUUCAAUGCGUUAAGUUGGUCAGGUAUGUAUUUUGAGAUUAUAUUUAAGCGUGAUUUGGACUAAAUCACAAGGUCGUUAUGUGAUGCAUAUGUGAGUAAAGCAAUAAGAUUGUUCUAUGAUUAUUGUGCGUUUGGUCAAUGUGGAAAGUUAGGCGAAAAUAUGUAAUGUACCUAUGUUUAUAAGAGAUCACUAUCAAGUGAGAAUUUAUCUGCCUAUUAUAUAUGAUGAGAUGGGCAUAUUCGGUAAAGGGAUGGUAUGCCCGACGGAAGAGUGAAAUAAAAAUACGAACGACUAGGUUAUAAUUUGA
Long non-coding RNA from Gossypium arboreum, 740 nucleotides. RefSeq lists it as uncharacterized. The transcript is spliced from 3 exons. Lineage: Eukaryota; Viridiplantae; Streptophyta; Magnoliopsida; Malvales; Malvaceae. The record is from RefSeq and is a predicted model, not a curated record.